CACACACCCUCUCUCUGGCUCAUACACACACACUCUGCUCCGUGAGGGAGCAGUCGCUGAAGAGCUCUGGAUAGACCAUGCGUGCUUCUGCAGGUGUCCCACCCUUCUCCCACCACAUGGAUGCUUCAGAAGUGUACUCUGAAGGGAGAAAGAAACAGCGGGAGGAAGCAGCGGAUGAAAGAAGACAUCCACAAAGAUCCCGCGUCCGACUCCAAACGUGGAAGUCGUAGUUACAUGUGCUUGUUGGGGUCAAAGGCUGAAGGCUGGUGAGUGGUGACCUUAGGGAGAGGCCUGGGUGCGAUCUGACCCCUGAGUGGAUGUGCGGGCUGACUCUGGAGGAUGCAGCGCAACAAAGGGCGGCACGUGCCUCGUCGUCGUCACCAUGGUAACAUAGGACCUUUUUGGAACGUGAAGAACAGGACUGAGGGGAAUAUGCUUCCAUCUUCUCUUUCAUCAGUCUUGGACACCAUCUUCUAUUAAUCUUGCAAAAAAAAAUACUUUGAGUAAUCAAGGUCUUUACUUCAAUGUCUCUGGUGAAUAUGUUAUCUAAAUAGCUUUCUAAAUAAAAUAAACUUUCAGUGAAGAGUCAAGCAUUUGCCCAAUUAUUUCUUGUUCUUGG
This is a long non-coding RNA of Gasterosteus aculeatus aculeatus (three-spined stickleback), 619 nucleotides long. The record is from Ensembl. NCBI's taxonomy places the organism in Eukaryota, Metazoa, Chordata, Actinopteri, Perciformes, Gasterosteidae.